CAGUUACAUCAUGCCAACAAAAAUUGCUCCCAUUCAGGGGCUAAAAACAUUCUUUACUUUCUCUUCUUAGGUGUGCUCUGCUCUGAUGGCUGUGUAUUUCCUUCCUGCUAGAUGUGACUGAUGGCUGCUGUGUAUUUCCUUCCUGCUAGAUGUGACUACGUUUCGUGAAUGAUCAAGAGAAUUCUGGCUGAAAGAUGGAGGAAAUUUGGCAAAUCUGAUGUCCUUUAAAAGCAACUACCGUACAAGGCACACAUGCAAAUACAGAAAUGAAAAGAUGAAUCUCCAUAUUCUCACACUGUACAAGCAACAUUAGUUAAUUCAACAUGACAAGCUAUAUGAAGUAUCUGGCACUUCCUUGGGCUUUGGAGUCUACCAUGGUAGUUCUCCAUUCUCUUUCCUCCUGGUAUCUCAUGGCUGGAAACACUGCUUUGCCUGGAUCCAGUACUAAUGUUGACCUUUUCAGGAUUUGCUCAAAAGGAUAUUUGUUAAGCAUUUCCACUGCUAGUGAUGAAAAUCUGAAAUAGGGAGGCGUAAUAUUCUCUCUACACCUCAUCCAUACCAACCCUGGCUGGCUAGAUAUGGAAAAAGUCUUCUCAUGAUCAGUACUGCUGAAGACUAAGCUAAGUGGAAUGAUACACAACCUUGCCCUUCUGUAUUUUCAGGGGUUGGUAAAGAACUGUGUAAACUGUGUGUGGAUUUUAUUCCAUAUUUUCAUGUAAGGCUAUAUUCUAUGGUGAUUCAUUUUGCUAUGAAAAGCUAUCUGCAGAAGAGUUAAAUUAGAGGUGUCCAGGUAAGAAAAAGUACAUAUUUUAAAUAGGUCUGGAGCUAAUUAACAUGCCAAAAUACUGACAGCUAAAACUUGUUGUGAGACCUCAUAACAACUUUUCAUGGAUACAACCAGUGGUGCAGAACAAGGAGUUUUGAUCUUUUGCUUACAAAAAUACUGUUAACUUAUAGAGUCUGAGAAAUGUUUCCCAAACAAAGAAUUUACAGCUCCACCCUAGCUUAUGAGGGAAAGAUCAUGAAAAUUGCAUUAUUCUUCAAAUGCUCAGAUUCCAAAGGUUUGGUAACUAGUUCCCUGUGGUGGUAAUGCUCCUAUUUCUACAUGGAAUUUGUAUUCUAGACUUACAUCAAAUUUGUAUAUAGAAUGAAUUGAGUGAAUGAUUUGUAAGAAGAACUUUUUGUUGUCAAAAUGCAAUGAAUAUUUCAUGAUUCAAAUUCAAAGCAAAGCAACCAUAAAUUUAAAAUACCAAGUUUUGCUGUGACACAUAAAAACCGUUCAUCAUAACUGUUAAAUACAAAGCAUAUUCACUCCUGGUAAGAACCAUAAAUAUGACAAGAAGUCCCAGAAAGAAAGUUGUAGUUAUGGUUAAGAAGUGGUGUACGGAAUGAAUACAACAAAAUUCCUCCUGAGUGUUUCAAAUAAUGCUAUCUUCCCUGCAUUUCAUUGGCUUCAAGAUUUGCAAAUCAGUCAGGGACGCCAAAACUCAAAUACUGUCAUUGCAUCCCCAGGC
RNAcentral lists this long non-coding RNA (1514 nucleotides) under Struthio camelus australis. RNAcentral describes it as "lncRNA (ENSSCUG00000001102.1)". The record is from RNAcentral. Lineage: Eukaryota; Metazoa; Chordata; Aves; Struthioniformes; Struthionidae.